This 1069-nucleotide ribosomal RNA is filed under the name Cryobacterium sp. RNAcentral describes it as "bacterial SSU rRNA". It matches the Rfam family "Bacterial small subunit ribosomal RNA", at positions 179 to 1276 of the family's 1533-position model. Lineage: Bacteria; Bacillati; Actinomycetota; Actinomycetes; Micrococcales; Microbacteriaceae. The record is from RNAcentral.
ACCCUCGGAGGCAUCUCCAGGGGGUGGAAAGAAUUUCGGUCAAGGAUGGACUCGCGGCCUAUCAGCUAGUUGGUGAGGUAAUGGCCCACCAAGGCGACGACGGGUAGCCGGCCUGAGAGGGUGACCGGCCACACUGGGACUGAGACACGGCCCAGACUCCUACGGGAGGCAGCAGUGGGGAAUAUUGCACAAUGGGCGCAAGCCUGAUGCAGCAACGCCGCGUGAGGGACGAAGGCCUUCGGGUUGUAAACCUCUUUUAGUAGGGAAGAAGCGAUGUGUUUUACACGGAGUGACGGUACCUGCAGAAAAAGCACCGGCUAACUACGUGCCAGCAGCCGCGGUAAUACGUAGGGUGCAAGCGUUAUCCGGAAUUAUUGGGCGUAAAGAGCUCGUAGGCGGUUUGUCGCGUCUGCUGUGAAAACUGGGGGCUCAACCCCCAGCCUGCAGUGGGUACGGGCAGACUAGAGUGCGGUAGGGGGAGAUUGGAAUUCCUGGUGUAGCGGUGGAAUGCGCAGAUAUCAGGAGGAACACCAAUGGCGAAGGCAGAUCUCUGGGCCGUAACUGACGCUGAGGAGCGAAAGCAUGGGGAGCGAACAGGAUUAAAUACCCUGGUAGUCCAUGCCGUAAACGUUGGGAACUAAAUGUAGGGUCCAUUCCACGGAUUCUGUGUCGCAGCUAACGCAUUAAGUUCCCCGCCUGGGGAGUACGGCCGCAAGGCUAAAACUCAAAGGAAUUGACCGGGGGCCCGCACAAGCGGCGGAGCAUGCGGAUUAAUUCGAUGCAACGCGAAGAACCUUACCAAGGCUUGACAUAUACCGGAAACGUCUGGAAACAGUCGCCCCGCAAGUCGGUAUACAGGUGGUGCAUGGUUGUCGUCACCUCGUGUCGUGAGAUGUUGGGUUAAGUCCCGCAACGAGCGCACCCUCGUUCUUGGUGCAGCACGUAAUGGUGGGACUCAAGGAAACUGCGGGUCACUCGAGAAAGGUGGGAUGAGUCAAUCUCAUCCCCUUAGUCUGGGCUCAGCAGCUACAUGGCCGUACAAGGCUGCAUACCUAGGUGAACGAUCCAA